Molecule: ribosomal RNA, 253 nt
Filed under: uncultured bacterium
Lineage: Bacteria
Description: partial 16S ribosomal RNA
Rfam family: Bacterial small subunit ribosomal RNA
Source: RNAcentral
GACGUAGGGCGCGAGCGUUGUCCGGAUUUAUUGGGCGUAAAGAGCUCGUAGGCGGCUUGUCGCGUCGACUGUGAAAUCCCGCGGCUCAACCGCGGGUCUGCAGUCGAUACGGGCAGGCUAGAGUUCGGUAGGGGAGAUUGGAAUUCCUGGUGUAGCGGUGGAAUGCGCAGAUAUCAGGAGGAACACCGAUGGCGAAGGCAGAUCUCUGGGCCGUAACUGACGCUGAGGAGCGAAAGCAUGGGGAGCGAACAGG